Molecule: long non-coding RNA, 1274 nt
Organism: Megalobrama amblycephala (Wuchang bream)
Lineage: Eukaryota; Metazoa; Chordata; Actinopteri; Cypriniformes; Xenocyprididae
Exons: 3
Source: RefSeq, a predicted model, not a curated record
UUCGUUCGAUUCACUAAAAGGUGCGCACGAUUUACUAUUUAGUUCCCUUGAUUCACUAAAACGUGCGCACGAUUUACUAUUUCCUUCCCUUGAUUCGCUAAAACGUGCACACGAUUUACUAUUUCGAUCCUUCGAUUCGCUAAAAGGUGCACACAAUUUACUAUUUCAUUCAUUCGAUUCACUAAAAGGUGCGCACGAUUAACUAUUUCCUUCCCUGGAUUCGCUAAAACGUGCACACGAUUUAUUAUUUCGAUCCUUCGAUUCGCUAAAAGGUGCGCACGAUUUACUAUUUCGUUCGUUCGAUUAGCUAAAAGGUGCACACAAUUUACUAUUUCAUUCAUUCGAUUCACUAAAAGGUGCGCACGAUUAACUAUUUCCUUCCCUGGAUUCGCUAAAACGUGCACACGAUUUAUUAUUUCGAUCCUUCGAUUCGCUAAAAGGUGCGCACGAUUUACUAUUUCGUUCGUUUGAUUAGCUAAAACGUGCACACGAUUUACUAUUUCGUUCCCUCGAUUCGCUAAAACGUGUGCACGAUUUACUAUUUCGUUCCCUCGAUUAGCUAAAACGUGCGCACGAUUUACUAUUUCCUUCCCUGGAUUCGCUAAAACGUGCGCACGAUUUAUUAUUUCGAUCCUUCGAUUCGCUAAAAGGUGCGCACGAUUUACUAUUUCGCUCAUGUGCGGGGCUCUGUGUUGGGUUGCAUAAACUGUUUAGACUAGUCUAAGUUAGUCAUCUCAUUGUUUCCUCAAGACUGGUCAUAACUUUGUCAGUUACAUAAAAAAAGUAUAUUUUACUAAUUUGAAUUGGCAAAGCAAGUAAUACUGAUUAGCCCUAACUAAUUACUAUUUGAUCAGACUAGAUCUUAAAACAGUCUUAACUUGGCCUUUGGAUCUUUUUUGACAGUUUUUGUAAGAUUCUCUCGGUUAAAUUGAUUAUUUUGAGGUUUGCUGUUCUAAAGCUGUAAACCUCAGGCUCCGGGUCCUGUAAUGAUGAGAGUCUACAAAUUAAUUUCAAUAGAGAGGAAACAGGACUGACCUGUCGUUGUCAAAAAAGCAGUACAGAAAGCCACUGAUGAUGAACAUUAUGGGGAGUUGUUGUAAUCUGCAAAUGUAAAUAUAGAUAUGCUCUGAAUAUAAGACUUCAUGUUAAAAAAGACAGAUUCAAAGCAAUAUAUUUACAGUCUGUUGCUAUAGAAACCACACGUCUUUUCUAUAACCUGCAUUUUUACAAUAAUGUUCAAAGGCAAAUGUCAAUAAAAGAUUUAUGUAACAUUA